RNAcentral lists this ribosomal RNA (270 nucleotides) under uncultured bacterium. Its description in RNAcentral is "partial 16S ribosomal RNA". It matches the Rfam family "Bacterial small subunit ribosomal RNA", at positions 648 to 918 of the family's 1533-position model. The record is from RNAcentral.
AUGUCAGAGGGGGGUAGAAUUCCACGUGUAGCAGUGAAAUGCGUAGAGAUGUGGAGGAAUACCGAUGGCGAAGGCAGCCCCCUGGGACGUCACUGACGCUCAUGCACGAAAGCGUGGGGAGCAAACAGGAUUAGAUACCCUGGUAGUCCACGCCCUAAACGAUGUCAACUAGUUGUUGGGGAUUCAUUUCUUCAGUAACGUAGCUAACGCGUGAAGUUGACCGCCUGGGGAGUACGGUCGCAAGAUUAAAACUCAAAUGAAUUGACGGAG